Molecule: ribosomal RNA, 429 nt
Filed under: Actinomycetes bacterium
Lineage: Bacteria; Bacillati; Actinomycetota; Actinomycetes
Description: Actinobacteria bacterium partial 16S ribosomal RNA
Rfam family: Bacterial small subunit ribosomal RNA
Source: RNAcentral
UAGGGAAUCUUCCGCAAUGGGCGAAAGCCUGACGGAGCAACGCCGCGUGAGUGAUGAAGGUCUUCGGAUCGUAAAACUCUGUUAUUAGGGAAGAACAAAUGUGUAAGUAACUAUGCACGUCUUGACGGUACCUAAUCAGAAAGCCACGGCUAACUAGGUGCCAGCAGCCGCGGUAAUACGUAGGUGGCAAGCGUUAUCGGGAAUUAUUGGGCGUAAAGCGCGCGUAGGCGGUUUUUUAAGUCUGAUGUGAAAGCCCACGGCUCAACCGUGGAGGGUCAUUGGAAACUGGCAAACUUGAGUGCAGAAGAGGAAAGUGGAAUUCCAUGUGUAGCGGUGAAAUGCGCAGAGAUAUGGAGGAACUCCAGUGGCGAAGGCGACUUUCUGGUCUGUAACUGACGCUGAUGUGCGAAAGCGUGGGGAUCAAACAGG